Molecule: non-coding RNA, 30 nt
Filed under: Rattus norvegicus (Norway rat)
Lineage: Eukaryota; Metazoa; Chordata; Mammalia; Rodentia; Muridae
Source: RNAcentral
UGUAUGUUCCACUUAAUAGGAUAGUGACCU